RNAcentral lists this ribosomal RNA (154 nucleotides) under Actinomucor elegans var. elegans. Its description in RNAcentral is "5.8S ribosomal RNA". It matches the Rfam family "5.8S ribosomal RNA". Rfam says of the family: 5.8S ribosomal RNA (5.8S rRNA) is a component of the large subunit of the eukaryotic ribosome. It is transcribed by RNA polymerase I as part of the 45S precursor that also contains 18S and 28S rRNA. Functionally, it is thought that 5.8S rRNA may be involved in ribosome translocation. Lineage: Eukaryota; Fungi; Mucoromycota; Mucoromycetes; Mucorales; Mucoraceae. The record is from RNAcentral.
CAACUUUUAACAACGGAUCUCUUGGUUCUUGCAUCGAUGAAGAACGUAGCAAAGUGCGAUAACUAGUGUGAAUUGCAUAUUCAGUGAAUCAUCGAGUCUUUGAACGCAUCUUGCACCUGCUGGUAUUCCAGCAGGUACGCCUGUUUCAGUAUCA